This 846-nucleotide ribosomal RNA is filed under the name uncultured bacterium. Its description in RNAcentral is "bacterial SSU rRNA". It matches the Rfam family "Bacterial small subunit ribosomal RNA", at positions 1 to 789 of the family's 1533-position model. The record is from RNAcentral.
GCGGGUUACGAAUUCGCCCCUUAGAGUUUGAUCAUGGCUCAGGAUGAACGCUGGCGGCAUGCCUAAGACAUGCAAGUCGUACGAAGUAGCCUAUUGAAAUUUUUGUGCUUGCACAGAAAUGGAUUUAGUUUCUACUUAGUGGCGGACGGGUGAGUAACACGUGGGUAAUCUGCCUAUGAGUUUGGAAUAACACAGGGAAACUUGUGCUAAUACCAAAUAUUAAAUAGAAAUGAUUUUUUUAUUUUGAAAGGUGCCUUUAAAGCAUCGCUUGUAGAUGAGCCUGCGUCGUAUUAGCUAGUUGGUGGGGUAAUGGCCUACCAAGGCGACGAUGCGUAGCCGAACUGAGAGGUUGAACGGCCACACUGGGACUGAGACACGGCCCAGACUCCUACGGGAGACAGCAGUUAGGAAUAUUCGUCAAUGGGGGAAACCCUGAACGAGCAAUGCCGCGUGAGUGAUGACGGUCCUUUGGAUUGUAAAACUCUGUUGCAUGGGAAGAACAGUUAGAUUAGGAAAUGAAUCUAGCCUGACGGUACCAUGCCAGAAAGCCCCGGCUAACUACGUGCCAGCAGCCGCGGUAAUACGUAGGGGGCGAGCGUUAUCCGGAUUUAUUGGGUGUAAAGGGUGUGUAGGCGGUUUAUUAAGUAUAAGAUUAAAGCCUGGGGCUUAACUCCAGUUCGUCUUAUAAACUGAUAGGCUUGAGUAUGGUAGAGGCAAAUGGAAUUUCUAGUGUAGCGGUAAAAUGCGUAGAUAUUAGAAGGAACAUCAGUGGCGAAGGCGAUUUGCUGGGCCAUUACUGACGCUGAGACACGAAAGCGUGGGGAGCGAAUAGGAUUGGAUACCCUA